UCAAAGGCAAAACAAAAUAAAGAUUCAUUAGAAAAAAAACCACAUUAUCUCACUAUCUAGAAAUAGAAAAAUUAUCUAGAAAAAAAAAAUACAUGUUUAAGUAUAUAUCCAAACAAGAUAUAGAAAUUUCGAAUAGAUUAGAUGAAAUCUCAAAGAAUCCAUGAUUCAGUAUAUUUUCAUAAAAUUCUCAAAUUCGAAUCGUUUCAUUCGCGAUGAG
RNAcentral lists this long non-coding RNA (217 nucleotides) under Eucalyptus grandis. RNAcentral describes it as "long non-coding RNA (EGRA_LNC006998)". The record is from RNAcentral. Lineage: Eukaryota; Viridiplantae; Streptophyta; Magnoliopsida; Myrtales; Myrtaceae.